CACCGGCGGCCCGAGUGGUGAUCGUGAUUAUUGGGUCUAAAGGGUCCGUAGCCGGUUUGGUCAGUCCUCCGGGAAAUCUGACGGCUUAACCGUUAGGCUUUCGGGGGAUACUGCCAGGCUUGGAACCGGGAGAGGUAAGAGGUACUACAGGGGUAGGAGUGAAAUCUUGUAAUCCCUGUGGGACCACCUGUGGCGAAGGCGUCUUACCAGAACGGGUUCGACGGUGAGGGACGAAAGCUGGGGGCACGAA
RNAcentral lists this ribosomal RNA (250 nucleotides) under uncultured bacterium. RNAcentral's name for it is "partial 16S ribosomal RNA". It matches the Rfam family "Archaeal small subunit ribosomal RNA", at positions 474 to 723 of the family's 1478-position model. The record is from RNAcentral. RNAcentral also lists the same sequence under 1 other name.